CCUUCCUCCUAAAAUCAAUGAAACUGAUCCCCUCGUGAAGAAGCGAGGAUGCGGAUAUAAGACGAGAAGACCCCAUGGAGCUUUAAACUAACUUCAAUUGCUCCUAAUCUUAUCAUAUAAAAUGAGCACUAAUAAAGGAUGUUUUCGGUUGGGGUGACCACGGAGUAAAACAAAACCUCCAUAGUGAAUGUAAUAAAUACUAACAAAAGAACUACAAUUCUAAUAAUCAAAAAAUUGACGCACUUGACCCAAAUAUUUGAUCAAUGAACCAAGUUACCCUGGGGAUAACAGCGCAAUCCAUUUUAAGAGCCCCUAUCGACAAAUGGGUUUACGACCUCGAUGUUGGAUCAGGGUAUCCUAGUGGUGCAGCCGCUACUAAUGGUUCGUUUGUUCAACGAUUAAAACCCUACGUGAUCUGAGUUCAGACCGG
Molecule: ribosomal RNA, 430 nt
Filed under: Leptopelis viridis (rusty forest treefrog)
Lineage: Eukaryota; Metazoa; Chordata; Amphibia; Anura; Arthroleptidae
Description: partial 16S ribosomal RNA
Rfam family: Bacterial large subunit ribosomal RNA
Source: RNAcentral